ACCAGAAAGUAUCCAUUGUCGACGCCGGCGCAACGGGUUGUUCGGAGAAUAACGACUUCAACGGUGUCCUCUUCAUUCGUGACCGGUUUUUGUCGGUCUGUACUCAAUCUUCGCAAAUAUCAUCAUGCGUCGCGUACACGGUCAUGACUCAUUGUAAAUCCAGAACCCUCCCGAUGGAACGAAACGAUGGGAAAUCAGCCUGAGUUAGUAUGUGUGCGGCCGCGAUGGAAAACAUUACUUCAGUGGUUAACUGACACAAUAACGGAGGCCAUAGAGACGUGAAAGUCAGCGCCUAUAUUUGCAGUUAUAUCACCUAGUCAGUCCCAGUCAGUCCAGAACAGACUAUGCGUGGCUUAGGGACUGUUGCAAGUCCUGUUUAAAAUCCGUCAAAUCGCAUCACGACGCGCAAAACCCUGCCUGUGACAUAAUUUUCCGGUUGUUGAUCGUGAAGGAAGUUGAGUUUCAUGUUACCUUGUUGUGCCUAAACAUUUUUGUUCUGGGGUAUGGCACCUUUACCCACCGAAGCCGCGUUGACCCUUUCUACACGGUGCAAAAAGCUAAUGGAAGAAGUGGAAUUUCCCUGCCGCCCAUGUUACGAAGUGUACAUCGCAAUGUAUGUGACCAUGUUUGGAAAAACAGAAGCUAACUAGAAACUUCUGUCCCAUUCUACUAUGAGAUAAUGAAACAUUUGUGAAAAAACACAUCGAAAGCAGAUCACAGCCGGCAUGUAGUA
This is a long non-coding RNA of Varroa destructor (honeybee mite), 733 nucleotides long. The record is from RefSeq and is a predicted model, not a curated record. Lineage: Eukaryota; Metazoa; Arthropoda; Arachnida; Mesostigmata; Varroidae.